AUUGAACGCUGGCGGCAUGCUUUACACAUGCAAGUCGGACGAGUGGCGAACGGGUGAGUAACAUAUCGGAACGUACCGAGUAAUGGGGGAUAACUAAUCGAAAGAUUAGCUAAUACUGCAUAUUAUUCGAGCGGCCGACAGGUGAUUAGCUGGUUGGUGGGGUAAAGGACUACAAAGGCGACGAUCGGUAGCGGGUCUGAGAGGAUGAUCGGCCACACUGGGACUGAGACACGGCCCAGACUCCUACGUGAGGCAGCAGUAGGGAAUUUUGGACAAUGGACGCAAGCCUGAUCAAGCCAUGCCGCGUGACUGAAGAAGGCCUUCGGGUUGUAAAGGACUGUGGUCAGAGAAGCGGUACCUAAAGAAUAAGCACCGGAUAACUACGUGCCAGCAGCCGCGGUAAUUC
This 406-nucleotide ribosomal RNA is filed under the name uncultured bacterium. Its description in RNAcentral is "partial 16S ribosomal RNA". It matches the Rfam family "Bacterial small subunit ribosomal RNA", at positions 30 to 526 of the family's 1533-position model. The record is from RNAcentral.